RNAcentral lists this unclassified non-coding RNA (352 nucleotides) under soil metagenome. Its description in RNAcentral is "partial contains 5.8S ribosomal RNA, internal transcribed spacer 2, and large subunit ribosomal RNA". The stretch from base 1 to 120 matches the Rfam family "5.8S ribosomal RNA", at positions 35 to 154 of the family's 154-position model. The record is from RNAcentral.
GAUGAAGAACGUAGCGAAAUGCGAAAAGUAAUGUGAAUUGCAGAAUUCAGUGAAUCAUCGAAUCUUUGAACGCACAUUGCGCCCGCUGGUACUCCGGCGGGCACGCCUGUCCGAGCGUCAUUUCAACCCUCAAGCCCUCCUUCGGGAUGGGCCUGGUGUUGGGGCUCGGCCGCCAUCUCCGGCGGCCGUCCCCUAAAUACAGUGGCGGUCACGUCGCGACUCCUUUGCGUAGUAGAAACACCUCGCUCCGGAUAGCAACGCGGUCCACGCCGUAAAACCCCCAAUUUUCAAUGGUUGACCUCGGAUCAGGUGGGAAUACCCGCUGAACUUAAGCAGAUCAAUAAGCGGAGGA